CCUACGGGAGGCAGCAGUGAGGAAUAUUGGUCAAUGGGCUUACGCCUGAACCAGCGAAGCCACGUGAGGGAAGACUGCCCUAUGGGUUGUAAACCUCUUUUGUCAGGGAGCAACGCCGGCUACGUGUAGCCGGACUGAGAGUACCUGAAGAAAAAGCAUCGGCUAACUCCGUGCCAGCAGCCGCGGUAAUACGGAGGAUGCGAGCGUUAUCCGGAUUUUUUGGGUUAAAGGGGUGCGUAGGCGGAAUGCCAAGUCAGCGGUAAAAGCGCGGGGCUCAACCGCGCUCCGCCGUUGAAACUGGCGUACUUGAGUGGGCGAGAAGUAUGCGGAAUGCGUGGUGUAGCGGUGAAAUGCAUAGAUAUCACGCAGAACACCGAUUGCGAAGGCAGCAUACCGGCGCCCAACUGACGCUGAAGCACGAAAGCGUGGGUAUCGAACAGGAUUAGAUACCCCUGUAGUC
Molecule: ribosomal RNA, 460 nt
Filed under: uncultured bacterium
Lineage: Bacteria
Description: partial 16S ribosomal RNA
Rfam family: Bacterial small subunit ribosomal RNA
Source: RNAcentral